CAAACGACUCUCGGCAACGGAUAUCUCGGCUCAYGCAUCGAUGAAGAACGUAGCAAAAUGCGAUACUUGGUGUGAAUUGCAGAAUCCCGUGAACCAUCGAGUUUUUGAACGCAAGUUGCGCCCGAAGCCUUUUGGUUGAGGGCACGUCUGCCUGGGCGUCACGC
Molecule: ribosomal RNA, 164 nt
Filed under: Ethulia conyzoides
Lineage: Eukaryota; Viridiplantae; Streptophyta; Magnoliopsida; Asterales; Asteraceae
Description: 5.8S ribosomal RNA
Rfam family: 5.8S ribosomal RNA
About the family: 5.8S ribosomal RNA (5.8S rRNA) is a component of the large subunit of the eukaryotic ribosome.
Source: RNAcentral